UGGGGGAUAUUGCACAAUGGGCGAAAGCCUGAUGCAGCGACGCCGCGUGGGGGAUGAAGGCUUUCGGGUUUUAAACCUCUUUCGCUAUCGAACAAGGCCCGCUUAGGGUGGGUUGAGGGUAGGUGGAGAAGAAGCGCCGGCUAACUACGUGCCAGCAGCCGCGGUAAUACGUAGGGCGCGAGCGUUGUCCGGAAUUAUUGGGCGUAAAGGGCUUGUAGGCGGCUUGUUGCGCCUGCUGUGAAAACGCGGGGCUUAACUUCGCGCGUGCAGUGGGUACGGGCAGGCUUGAGUGUGGUAGGGGUGACUGGAAUUCCAGGUGUAGCGGUGGAAUGCGCAGAUAUCUGGAGGAACACCGAUGGCGAAGGCAGGUCACUGGGCCAUUACUGACGCUGAGGAGCGAAAGCAUGGGUAGCGAACAGG
RNAcentral lists this ribosomal RNA (420 nucleotides) under bacterium. RNAcentral describes it as "partial 16S ribosomal RNA". It matches the Rfam family "Bacterial small subunit ribosomal RNA", at positions 355 to 776 of the family's 1533-position model. The record is from RNAcentral.